AGCUCUGUUGACUUGUCCAAGUCAAUAGAGUUCAAAUGAAUCCUAAAGUGCGCGCAGUCUCACCUCUCCGUUCCCUGUGGUUCACGGUGCUGGCGUCCGUCGUUAGCGCCGGUAGUGGCUUACACCUAAACACCACCACCAUUGGAUGCGUGAUAUCAAGUUGAGCAUGAAUAUGACAAUGAAAUUACGAAACAACUCUUGUACCGGUUGAAUCGAAUCGCUGAAUAGAAGAACCCUAACGGUUUACAAGUCAAAUUAAAUGGAGUUCGGUGGAGAUCAAUCCCUAAUACUAUGGGGGUUCCACUCCCUACCUUAGGUGCUACAUCUUGGUGAGCUCAGAACAAGAAAACGAUACUGAAUGAUAAAUGACAUACCAGAGAAGAUGAUCGAAGAAUCCACCGGGUCGAUCAGCUAUGGGCUUGCUUCAUUCCGUCACGAACCAAACGGAUAGAGUUACCGUUGUAGGCUUCAAGUUAACAUAAUAACCUUUCCAAAAUUUCCACAUAACAGUCUGUUUUGCAUAAUUUCCACACAAUAGUUUUUUGCAACAGUGCAGUUAAAAUGCCCAGCCGGCUUCGAAAUGCCGUGUUGCCAAGUUCCGAAAGAUAUUCCACUGCUACGAACUAACCAUUAGCCAAGGUCUUAAGUUAAGUUUUGGGUGCAGGUUGAUGGAUAUUUGAUGUUGAUGUGGUUUGUGGUGCUUUGCUAGGCCUACUAUGGUACUGGUUUGAGUUAAUCGGGUUGUGGUUCGAAGCAAUUCGGCUAAUGUUUCCUUUAGUCACAAAGUUACAAGGUGGUAUUCCCGAUUCGAUUAGGAAUGAGUUUUUCUUGCAGUAGUCUGAUUUGCAAGAAACAUAAUGACUACAAAGCCAAGCAGAACUAUUAGGCUGCGUAACACCCGUUCCAUUGAUGACAGUGCACCUUGAAAGGUAAGCAAAACAUGGCCUGUAUUGUAAAAUGUGUUUGCAUAUAUGGUCAUCAGCAUAUCAUUUACUAAAUGAAGGCCACUGAAGACACAUAAGAUGGCCAAAAAAGUGAUUAUGAUACAAUGCAUCCUUAGAAAUGUUUUACGGUCCCUGAUGUCGCUAUGCAAUGGAGGAAUGAAGGUAAAAGUUGUGAGGCACAAGAGUUGCUCCAAGAAGACCCAUAAGCAUAAAUGCAGUCCCCCCACUCAACUUUAUUAUUAUUCCUUUCACAGAAAGUGGAACUUCUGAUUGAUUGAUGAGUAGUCCAAGUAUAAAAGAUAAUAAUACAAAGCCUGCGACAAACUCUCCUUGGUAUUUUGUCUUCUCAAUGUCAAGGAGAAGUAUAUUAAAAAUAGCACCAGUGGUAGUUAAAAAGAUACAGGUGAACAAGUGCCACCCAAAAAUAAGAUUUAAUCCUUGUGCUAUGCCCAAGACCAUGUUAAGAUCUAGCACAAUCACUGAAAGUUCAGUUUGAAUUCCAAGGAAAAGGCAUGUCCAUGUAUCAUACCCGUCACUGCAAAUCUGAGCCAGAUCUCUUCCAGUGAUUACAACAACCCGGGAAGAUAAGUACUGACAGACGAUAGCUGCAAAAUUGAAAACAAGCGUGAAAGCCAUCAGAUCAGAACCGAGCCUUGCACCGCCUUCAAUACUUGCCUGCUGAAAUGGAUUCGAACUGUUAAGUUAUGUUGGUGCUGGAUUUGGAUGUUAGGAAUUUUGAUUAUAGUUGUAACAAUUUUUUCAUUCUGCUUGUGUUGACUUUGUAUUUGAUGGCUUGCAGAAUCAUAAAAUGAAGAACAUGUUUGAGAA
Long non-coding RNA from Lathyrus oleraceus (garden pea), 1772 nucleotides. RefSeq lists it as uncharacterized. Lineage: Eukaryota; Viridiplantae; Streptophyta; Magnoliopsida; Fabales; Fabaceae. The transcript has 4 exons. The record is from RefSeq and is a predicted model, not a curated record.